RNAcentral lists this ribosomal RNA (449 nucleotides) under uncultured bacterium. RNAcentral describes it as "partial 16S ribosomal RNA". It matches the Rfam family "Bacterial small subunit ribosomal RNA", at positions 29 to 523 of the family's 1533-position model. The record is from RNAcentral.
AACGAACGCUGGCGGCAUGCCUAAUACAUGCAAGUCGAACGAGAUCUUCGGGUCUAGUGGCGCACGGGUGCGUAACGCGUGGGAAUCUGCCCUUUGGUUCGGAAUAACAGUUGGAAACGACUGCUAAUACCGGAUGAUGACGAAAGUCCAAAGAUUUAUCGCCAGAGGAUGAGCCCGCAUAGGAUUAGCUAGUUGGUGUGGUAAAGGCGCACCAAGGCGACGAUCCUUAGCUGGUCUGAGAGGAUGAUCAGCCACACUGGGACUGAGACACGGCCCAGACUCCUACGGGAGGCAGCAGUGGGGAAUAUUGGACAAUGGGCGAAAGCCUGAUCCAGCAAUGCCGCGUGAGUGAUGAAGGCCUUAGGGUUGUAAAGCUCUUUUACCCGGGAUGAUAAUGACAGUACCGGGAGAAUAAGCUCCGGCUAACUCCGUGCCAGCAGCCGCCGUAA